Molecule: long non-coding RNA, 2002 nt
Filed under: Homo sapiens (human)
Lineage: Eukaryota; Metazoa; Chordata; Mammalia; Primates; Hominidae
Description: HSALNT0039394
Source: RNAcentral
CGCUUAGGUAACCACCCAACUCUUUCCAUCUGUAAAAUGAGAGGUGAGCUAUGUAGGUGAACACUAAGAGCCCUUGUUUAGCUAACAUUCUGUGAUUGCAAGGGGAGCGCAAGUGAACUGGAUGUGAUGGGCCACAGAACAAUGAGCAACCUGGAGAGCGGGAAGAGAGGGUUUUUCUAGAACCAUGUGUUCGAAAUUGGGAGUCCUCAGAGGGGCUGCAGGAAGCGUGCAAGAAAAACGGAAGUGAGAUUCCAACAGGAGGGCACCACUGUCCCUGUCUGACCUUAAACCAGGAGAUUUUGUACAGAUGUAUUCCUUCAAGAAAACCAGCUUGUUGGCAGUAAUAGAGAAGAAAUGAGCUUCUCCCAACAACAGCCAACAACAGCCAAUGACAACAGCAAAAUAGGAAAAAGGGUUGCCCUCUGAAAGGUGCAGCCCAGAGCAGCAGGAGCUGUGCCCUGGCCCCUGUCCUGAGGAGCUCCCACUGGUCAGCCCCGCCUACUCCAGCUGGACCUUGAUGCUUCACACAAGGUGUGCGCAGAGGACACAGGCACUUCAUGGAGCAACAUACUUUUGUAAAAAAAAUGAAUUCCCUUGUAACAAAUAGAGCACGGAGGCUUUUAUAGAUUAAGUAAUUUGUAGUCUUCUUAUAAUUAUGGCUUCUAAAUUACCUAAAAUAAUUCAUUCAAGGCUUGAUUUUAGUUUUGUCUUGAGAGUGUCAACUCUUUAACUUGAGAUGCUGUAGGAUGGGGUUUCAUCUUGGGAUUCUUUUCUUGGAUAUGUCAUUUAAAUUCUGAUACUUAUAUUCCCUAUUUGAAAACACAUGAUCAAUGACAAUACCAAUACCUGAUUUGUGUGCAAUACUUAUAAUUUACAACGUACAUUAUUUUAACAUACAUUCUUUUCAUGCGACCCUCUCAACAACCCUUUGACAAGGCAAGUCAGAGACUAAUUACUAGAGAUUAUUCAAGCGACUUGCUCCAAGUCAUACAGUAGGCAGGCAGCCAAGAUGACUCUAGUUUUUCCAACUCCUAGUCCCACACUCUUUCCUCUCCCCUUACAUGUUCUGAUAUAAAUCAAACUUAGGUUUGAAAAUAUCUUAUUGAUGUAUUUCAACACCCCAGAAUUUGAUGAGACUGGAAUCGAUUUGUUGUGAUCUGUGAUUGCUGAAUUCCUCGUAUGUGGUGGAUACCAAGGUAAGUUGACUAGAAUGUGAGCUUGCCUACCCAGACACCAGUUCCCAUGUCCUUUGUCCGGUGGUAUAAUUUGAAGUUCACUCUUUUUGGUGUACAGUUUUAUGAGUUGAGUUGUGAAAAACAUAUACAGUUGUGUAUCCACCACUACAGUCAAGAUAUAGAACAGUUCCAUUACCUCAAAAAUUUUUUUCAGGCCGGGCGCAGUGGCUCACGCCUGUAAUCCCAGCACUUUAGGAGGCCAAAGCGGGCGGAUCACGAGGUCAGGAGAUCGAGACCAUCCUGGCUAACGCUGUGAAACCAUGUCUCUACUAAAAAUACAAAAAAAUUAGCCAGGCGUGGUGGCAGGUGCCUGUGGUCCCAGCUACUUGGGAGGCUGAGGCAAGAGAACCGCUUGACCCUGGGAGGCAGAGGUUGCGGUGAGCCAAGAUCGCGCCACUGCACUCCAACCUGGGCGACAGAGCGAGAGUCCAUCUCAAAAAGAAAACAUCAUACUCUUUUGUAGUCAACCCUAGCUAGGCCCCUAUAGUUUUGCCUUUCCCAAAGUAUCUUAUGCAUGGAAUCAUCCAGGAGAUAACCUCCUGAAUCAGGCUUCUGUCUCUUAGCAUAAUGCAUUUGGGAUUUACCAUGUUAUUUCAUUUAUCAGGUUUUUGUCCCUUUUCAUUGCUGAGUAGUAUUUCAUUAUAGGAAUGUACUCUCGUUUGUGGAUCAUUCUGAUCAACUCAGCACAUGUGGAUUAUUUCCAGUCUUGGCAAUGAUGAAUAAAGUCACUCUAAGCAUUCACGUACAGGUUUUUGCAUGAAUAAAAU